AUGACUAGACCCAAGCAGACCCGUAGGAGAAACAGCUCCACGUGCCCUCCGCCGGCGUUAGAUGCACCGCCAAAAUGGGGAUAUGGCGGGGAGGACAUCAUUAUGACUCUAAUCUUUCCGUGCCGUGUAUGGCCCAAACCUCCAGAGACGUACGUGGCGUGGAGGUUGGACGUCUACUUCUCCGGCGUGAUUGAAUUCCACGAUCGGUGGGAGGAGAAGGCUGUUAUGGCCUAUUCAUCGGUAGCUACGAGGACAAGGACAACCUGCUGCACGAUUGAACCAGUGACAACAAAGACAGGAUCUACAGGGCAGCGCCUCCCGCCUUCGCCGCCGGCGCUUCCUGGCCAGGCUCCGAAGGGAGACGUGUGGGAGGGCGCCGCCGAGGAGGUCCUGCGCACGAAGGACCACGUCCUGGCGUCACGGCCCCCUUCCGUCGUCCCCGACAUCAUCAUGUACGGCUCGUCUGACAUCGCCUUCGCGCCGUACGGCGAGUACUGGCGGCAGGCGAGGAAGCUCGUCACCACACACAUGCUGAGCGUCAGCAUGGCAAUGGCCAAGAUCAACGAGGCAGCCACAGCCGGUAGUACAGUUGACAUGAGCGAGCUGCUCAACUCAUUCUCGAAUGACAUGGCAUGCCGUAUCGUGUCAGGCAAGUUCUUCCUGAAAGAUGGGCGGAGCAAGUUGUUCCGGGAACUCAUCAGGCUUCUGGGCGGGUUCAACUUGGAGGAGUACUUCCCAGCAUUGGGUAGGGUAGGAGUGCUUAAGAGGGUGGUUUGUACCAAGGCCGAAAGAGUGAGGAACAGAUGGGCCGAUCUGCUGGACAAGGUGAUCGAUGAUCGUGUGAGCAAGCGCAAAUCAGCAUCUGAUCACAAGGAUGGUGAUUUCGUAGAUAUUCUAUUGUCUGUUCAGCAGGAGUAUAAUCUCACAAGAGAGCACAUGAAAGCUCUCCUCAUAGAUGUAUUUUUCGGUGCAACAGACACGUCUGCUAACGUCCUCGAAUUCACCUUGGCUGAGCUCAUGAGGAGGCCACACUUCAUGGGAAAGCUACAAGAUGAAGUGAGGAGUAUCGUACCCGGGGACAAGAAAUUAGUCUCUCAGGCUGUAUCCUAUUGCACCUCUCCUUGCUCCGCACCUUGCAUGGCUGACUGUACCAUCGACGGAUACAUGGUUCCUGCAGGGACGCGUGUCGUCGUCAAUGCAUGGGCCAUUGGGAGGGAUUCCAGCUCCUGGGAGGAUGCUGAAGAGUUCAUACCUGAAAGAUUUACAGAUGAAGGCAAUGCUAGGAAUGCCAACUUUAAGGGGAACGAUUUUCAGUUCUUACCAUUCGGGGCAGGACGAAGGAUAUGCCCUGGUAUAAACCUCGGAAUCGCCAAUGUUGAGCUUAUGUUGGCAAACAUCAUGAACCAUUUUGAGUGGGAACUUCCGAUUGGGGUUGAGAGAAAAGAUAUCGAUAUGACAGAGGUGUUUGGGAUAAGCAUUCGUAGGAAGGAGAAACUAUUGUUGAUUCCAAAGUCACACAUAUUUAAAGUUGAUUCACGGCUCGGGAAACAACGAAACCUAGAAGGAGCCCGCCGCGGAUGUGGGUGCCGCCAUCACGGCUUUGACUUGGCCAACUGGCGGGUGGCCCAGUAUAGUUUCUCUUCAGGCAAAGACCUCCUCGUGUCGGCUGGCGACUCGCAUGAAGCUCUCAUGGCCUCGCUGGCGACCCCUACCCAUACUACUACUGGUACGGUCGCUAAAUGCUCCUACUGCUGCCCGCCGCCGCCGGUGUAUGUUGUUGCUGCUGCUGCUCGUUGCCGUUGGUGUGUGCUCCUGCUGUUGCUACUCCUCCCUGAUGCAUGCUGCUCGCCGCUGCUCCUCCUUGUUGCGUGCUGCUACUACUGCUGCUUGUUGCUGCUCCACCGUCUGUGCGUGCUGCUACUGUGCGCUGCUGCUCCGCCGCCGGUGCGUGCUGCUGCUGCUUGCAGCCGCCGGUGCAUGCUGCUGCUCCUCCCAGUUGCGUGCCUCUGCUGCUGCUCGCCGCCAGCGUGUGGAGGGGUGGGGGAGAAGGAAGGCUACAAUGAGCCCCGACGGCCGUAUGAGCAGAAGGAGAAAAAUCACUCCCGGACAAAAAUCGAGCCUAUCAAAACACACCGUGUUCCACUUGUCUUCCUCACAUGCAUGCACGGUCCUUCUACGGUGAGUGCCGUGGAUGGUCAAAACUUGGAGUGCCGUGGGGCCGCCUGA
This 2226-nucleotide ribosomal RNA is filed under the name Triticum aestivum (bread wheat). RNAcentral's name for it is "partial small subunit ribosomal RNA". The record is from RNAcentral. Lineage: Eukaryota; Viridiplantae; Streptophyta; Magnoliopsida; Poales; Poaceae.